This is a long non-coding RNA of Phacochoerus africanus (Common warthog), 1274 nucleotides long. RefSeq lists it as uncharacterized. The transcript has 4 exons. The record is from RefSeq and is a predicted model, not a curated record. Lineage: Eukaryota; Metazoa; Chordata; Mammalia; Artiodactyla; Suidae.
GGGUAGUCACUCUUCGAAGUUUCUUCCUCAGCUUGGGGCCAGCCCAGACUGCAUGUGGUUUCCUCUCACUGUGUGUGCCUGCAUGUGUGUGUGUGUGUACAAAUGUGCAUGUGUGUUAGUUAUUUGCCUUUUACUGGCUCCGGGGUUUCUGUCCACCAGAGGAGCCCAGGGCUCUCUCUCAGACCUGCCCAACCUGCCGAGACGUUCUGGGACCCAGCUGGAUGCCCGUGGACACCCCACCGGCUGCCCCAGAAUGCGCUGAAAGUCAUUGAGAGGCACUGCUCCAACAGGACAAUUAUUUCUCGAGAAAGGGGAGAUUUGGCAUCCAGAUGCAGUUCUCCAAACCCAUCGCUGGCAACCCUCCACAUCUUGCUGGGCCUCAGUUUCCCACUUCUUUUUGGAGACCACCAGGGUCUACGUCAUCCUACCUCACGGGUUGGUACAAGGGUUGAGGGGCUGGGAGAGAUGUGAGAUGCCCAUUCAACCCGUUCCAGUUGGUCCUUACAUGAGCACCCACAGUGACCGGGUUUGGGCUCUGUGCAAGUGUCAUGCCAGGCUCUGAGACCCUCAGGUGGCAAGACCUCCCCUCCACCCCUGCCAGCUCACAGGCUGUUCUUGAUUCUACAAGUGGACUUCAGGGAUUUCAACUGCACUCAGGACUUUUUCACACCCCAGUUAGAAAGAAAACACAACAAUAACCAAAAGCAGGAAAGAAAAAAAAUCAACCAGAAGUUCCUUGGCUCCUGAGACGGUGGCCGGUUCUGGAUCACUCCAAGAAGGCGCCUUCCAAAUUGUCUCCUUGAGGAUUCAGCCUCGAACGCUGGGAGUGUGUCUGGAGGGUCUCCAAAUGCCUUUCUCACCCUCUGCAAAGUUUCGUUCCUUUUGCUUAUGUGGAGCUGGAUGUGUCAGAUCCCAAGCUGGCUUAAUUAGCUUUUCCAACCUGCUUCCCUAAUGAUGAAGGGUGAAUUCCAUAGUAUUCAGUGGUCCCUUUUUAACAGAUUCAACAAACACGCCAAAGAGGCGACCUGUUCGGCACAGCUGGACUGGGAGGGCAAAGUCACUCCUCCUCUCAGGACUUGAGUUUGCCUCUCUGGAAAAUGAGAGGGCUGGACCAUCAGCUUCCCAAACCUGAACACUCAUUGAAGGAUGAAGGGUGCUGGUUAAAGACGCCGAUUCCACAAAGAUACAUAUACAUUCUUUUUCUCAUAUGUAUGAUGGGGUCUCUUCGCUGUACAACAGAAACUGACGGAACACUGUAAAUCAACUAUACUUUA